GGCUUAGAGUUUGAUCAUGGCUCAGGACGAACGCUGGCGGCGUGCCUAAUACAUGCAAGUAGAACGCUGAAGAAAGGAGCUUGCUUCUUUUGGAUGAGUUGCGAACGGGUGAGUAACGCGUAGGUAACCUGCCUUGUAGCGGGGGAUAACUAUUGGAAACGAUAGCUAAUACCGCAUAACAGCUUUUGACACAUGUUAGAAGCUUGAAAGAUGCAAUUGCAUCACUACGAGAUGGACCUGCGUUGUAUUAGCUAGUAGGUAGGGUAACGGCCUACCUAGGCGACGAUACAUAGCCGACCUGAGAGGGUGAUCGGCCACACUGGGACUGAGACACGGCCCAGACUCCUACGGGAGGCAGCAGUAGGGAAUCUUCGGCAAUGGGGGCAACCCUGACCGAGCAACGCCGCGUGAGUGAAGAAGGUUUUCGGAUCGUAAAGCUCUGUUGUAAGAGAAGAAUGUGUGUGAGAGUGGAAAGUUCACACAGUGACGGUAACUUACCAGAAAGGGACGGCUAACUACGUGCCAGCAGCCGCGGUAAUACGUAGGUCCCGAGCGUUGUCCGGAUUUAUUGGGCGUAAAGCGAGCGCAGGCGGUUUAAUAAGUCUGAAGUUAAAGGCAGUGGCUUAACCAUUGUUCGCUUUGGAAACUGUUAAACUUGAGUGCAGAAGGGGAGAGUG
RNAcentral lists this ribosomal RNA (677 nucleotides) under uncultured organism. RNAcentral's name for it is "bacterial SSU rRNA". It matches the Rfam family "Bacterial small subunit ribosomal RNA", at positions 1 to 663 of the family's 1533-position model. The record is from RNAcentral.